CCCUGGUAGUCCAUGCCGUAAACGUUGGGCACUAGGUGUGGGGGACAUUCCACGUUUUCCGCGCCGUAGCUAACGCAUUAAGUGCCCCGCCUGGGGAGUACGGCCGCAAGGCUAAAACUCAAAGGAAUUGACGGGGGCCCGCACAAGCGGCGGAGCAUGCGGAUUAAUUCGAUGCAACGCGAAGAACCUUACCAAGGCUUGACAUGAACCGGAAAGACCUGGAAACAGGUCCCCCACUUGUGGUCGGUUUACAGGUGGUGCAUGGUUGUCGUCAGCUCGUGUCGUGAGAUGUUGGGUUAAGUCCCGCAACGAGCGCAACCCUCGUUCUAUGUUGCCAGCACGUGAUGGU
Molecule: ribosomal RNA, 349 nt
Filed under: Pseudarthrobacter sp.
Lineage: Bacteria; Bacillati; Actinomycetota; Actinomycetes; Micrococcales; Micrococcaceae
Description: bacterial SSU rRNA
Rfam family: Bacterial small subunit ribosomal RNA
Source: RNAcentral